Mercenaria mercenaria is the source of this 11029-nucleotide long non-coding RNA. RefSeq lists it as uncharacterized. The record is from RefSeq and is a predicted model, not a curated record. The transcript has 6 exons. Lineage: Eukaryota; Metazoa; Mollusca; Bivalvia; Venerida; Veneridae.
AAGACGAUUGCAGAACCCAAGAGUCAGCCUUGUCCCCUCAAGGUCAAGGUCAAAUCUCAAGGUCAAAGGUUUGAGCCUUCAAUUUUGUGUCCGCUCUAUAUCUCCUGAACCCCUUGAAGGAUUUUCAUGAAACUUGGGUCAAAUGAUCACCUCAUCAGGACGAUGUGCAAAACCCAUGAGUCAGCCUUGUCUGCUCAAGGUCAAGGUCACAACUGAAGGUCAAAGGUUUGAGCCUUCAAUUUUGUGUCCACUCUAUAUCUCCUAAACCCCUUGAAGGAAUUUCAUAAAAGUUGGGUCAAAUGAUCACCUCAUCAAGACGAUGUGCAGAACCCAUUAGUCAGCCAUGCCGGCUCAAGGUCAAGGUCACAACUUAGGGUCAAAGGUUUGAGCCUUCCAUUUUGUGUCCGCUCUAUAUCUCUUAAACCCCUUGAAGGAUUUUCAUCAAACUUGGGUCAAAUGAUCACCUUAUCAAGGCAAUGUGCAGAAUUCAUGAGUCAGCCAUGCUGGCCUGAAGGUCAAGGUCACAACUGAAGGUCAAAGGUUUGAGCCUUCCAUUUUGGAUUUGCUCUAUAUCUCAUAAUUCCCUUGAAGGAUUCAUUUGAAACUUGGGUCAAAUGAUCACUUCAUCAAGACGAUGUGCAUAACUCAUGAGUCAGCCAGGCUGGCUCAAGGUCAAGGUCACAACUCAAGGUCAAAGGUCUGAGCCUUCCAUUUUGUGUCCACUCUGUAUUUCUUAAACCCCUUGAAGGAAUUUUAUAAAACUUUGGUCAAAUGAUCACCUCAUCAAAACGAUGUGCAGAAGUUAGUCAGCCAUGCUGGCUCAAGGUCAAGGUCAUAACUUAGAGUCAAAGGUUUGAGCCUUCCAUUUUGUGUCCACUCUGUAUCUCCUAAAUGCCUUGAAGGAUUUUCAUCAAACUUGGGUCAAAUGAUCACCUCAUCAAGAACUCAAGAGUCAGCCAUGUCAACUCGAGGUCAAGGUCACAACUCAAGGUCAAAGGUUUCAGCUCUAUAUCUCCUAAACCCCUUGAAGGAUUUUUAUGAAACUUGGGCCAAAUGAUCACCUCAUCAAGAAAUUGUGCAGAAUUCAUGAGUCAGCCAUGUCAGUUCAAGGUCAAGGUCACAGCUAAAGGUCAAAGGUUUACCCUUUCACUAUCCAUAGCAGUGGCGGGGGAUUUAGCUGUCUUUCAGACUGCCUUGUUAUUUUCAUUUCAUUUUGUCUACAAUUUUGUCAAUAUUAAUAGCUGAUCUAGAUCAAAGUCACACCUACAAUUUCAUGAGUUUAGAAAAAAAUGGAUAUGGUUUUAAGUGAAGUGUCAGGCGCACAGAUUUCACUAAAAGCGACGUGUUUGUUUCAUCUUCCUGCUUUAUAUAUAUUUCCAAUUCCCGAAUUUCUUUUCUUCCCACAGGUAGAUAGUAAGGAGCGUCAAGUUUGUAAUCCCAUCCACUUUUCUUGUUUUUCUCAAGUGUCACAUCCUGGACAAAAGUCUGGAAACAGGCCUUCUUCCGGUACUCGCCCACUUGAUAGAUCUUGGUUACUUUCAUCCCGUGGUCCAGGUACCAUUUCAGGAGGGGCAUAGCCAGGAGAAUUUGUCGGCCUUUCGUACCGCCGACCAACAAGCGUCUGGGCUUAUCGCUGAGCUGGUAUUCCCACACGUGGGCCUGCAUACGCUCCCCGAUAUCGUCAAACCCCACCUCCGUGUUGCAGAAGAUGGGGCACAUCUCCUCAAAAUAUUUUCGGGGAGACAUAGAAAUGUGGGCAAACUCAGGACUCCAUUCUUCCGGGACUUCGAUGUCGCACAUACCUAAAAGCUGACUGGUUUGAAACCCGUUUAAAAUUUGGUUUUCGGUCUCUUUACCCCUGUGCUUCUGACUAAAUGUGGGGCGACACGUGUCCCGGAUGUUGUAAAGUUUUGGUUGCGCUUUACAAAACAAGUCGUAUGUCUGUGCAGGAACAAUGGGGUGGUAUCAUAUAACAGCCUGCAAGGUCAGAAAAACCCAUGACGUCAUCAUUCGCCCGAUGCCCCUAUUGGUACUGUCAUUUAUCUCUCUCUCUCUCUCUCUGAUAGCAGAAAGACAUUUGUGAUAAACUGUAAUCUGAUAGUCAUAUUGAGGUCUGGAGAUCUGUGAAACUUGGUCAGACUGUUAAUCUUGAUAAUUUUUAGGUCAAGUUCAAAUCUGGGUCAGGUUGGGUCAAAAACUAGAUCACCAGGUCAAAUCAAAGGAAAAGCUUGUUAACACUCUAGAGGUCACAUUUAUGACUGUAUAUUCCUGAAACUUGGUCAGAAUGUUUGUCUUGAUGAUCUUUAGAUCAAGUUUGAAUCUGGGUCAUAAUGGGAUCUUACACUAGGUCAGUAGGUCAAAUCAAAGGAAAAGCUAGUUAACUCUCUAGAGGCCACCUUUAUGACCUUGCAUUAAUGAACCUUAGAAUGUUAAACUUGAUUAUCUUUAGGUCAAAUUCAAAUUUGGGUCAGGUUCGGUCAAAAACUAGGUCACCAGGUCAAAUCAAAGGAAAAGCUAGUUAACACUCUAGAGGCCACAUUUAUGACAAUAUCUUUGUGAUGAAACUUGGUCAGAAUGUUAAUCUCGAUGAUUUUUAGGUCAAGUUCAAAUCUGGGUCAGGUGGGGUGAAAAACAAGGUCACCAGGUGAAAUCCAAGGAAAAGCUUGUUAACACUCUAGAGGCCACAUUUAUGACUGUAUCUUCAUGAAACUCAGUCAGAAUGUUAAUCUUGAUGAUCUUUAGAUCAAGUUCGAAUGUUGGUCAUGUGGGGUCAAUAAGUAGGUCACCAGGUCAAAUCAAAGGAAAAGCUAGUUAACACUCUAGAGGCCACAUUUAUGACCAUAUCUUAAUGAAACUUGGUCAGAAUGUUAAUCUUGAUGAUCUUUAGGUCAGUAGGUUAGGUGAGCGAUACAGGGCCUUCAUGGCCCUCAUGUUUAUAAUCUACUCUUUCUGGAAAAGUCAUCCAAUGGAGGUCCUUAAAGAGCUCACAUGAAGGGGUAUCAAAUGGUUUUUCUAGUAAAAUUCUCUCAGUCCUUUUCUGAAAUUUGAUCAGAUCAUUUUGCAUUAUUUUGUGAGCUGCAGUUUUAGUUUCCCCUAAUUUGGGUAAGUAAUCCAGAUGGGGCAAAAUAUAGGCGGAGGGACUGUAAGUUCAGACAGAAUCUAAUACUUAGCAAAAGAUUAAGCACUGAAUUGCACUUAUUUAGUAUUUUGUCUAUUUGAGGUUUUCAAUUCAAAUUUUGGUCAACUUGUAUUCCAAGAAGUUUGAUUUUUUCUUUGUGAGAGAGCACCUGCUUAUGUAAAUUAAUGACAUUAUGGGAAAUGUUAACUCUUUGAACAUAUUCUUCCCAUGCAAGCAGUAUCUUCUCCUCUACCUCCUCUAACAUGUCUUCAAGGUAAAAUUCAAUAGCAUUUUCAUUGUCAUUAAUUAGAUCAUACUGUAGCCCGCCUGCUUAGCUCAGUAGGUAAGAGCGUUGGUCUACGGAUCCCGGGGUCGCGAGUUCGAUCCUCGGGCGGGGCGUAUGUUCUCCGUGACUAUUUGAUAAACGACAUUGUGUCUGAAAUCAUUAGUCCUCCACCUCUGAUCAUUCAUGUGGGGAAGUUGGCAGUUACUUGCGGAGAACAGGUUUGUACUGGUACAGAAUCCAGGAAAACUGGUUAGGUUAACUGCCCGCCGUUACAUGACUGAAAUACUGUUGAAAAACGGCGUUAAACCCAAAACAAACAAACAAACAAUCAUACUGUAUUUGUGAUGGAUGAUCAAUCAAACAUCCAUAACACUUCUAAUUGAUCACUGUAUAUUUAACUCCAGUCAAAGCCUUUGCGUAGAUAAAGUCAAAGUCAGAGUUCAUUAGACUAGUAUCACAGCUAGUUGCAGGUGGUGUACAAUAAUCAACUGGAACGUUACAUUGUUCAGUCUUCAUCUUUCCAAAGUCUGUCUCAUCAAAGUUAGUGAUCAUGGAAUCACUUCGUUCAUCAUCAUUACUUCUUACUCUUGAAAGUAAAUCUAACUUCUUUAAAUUUCCUGUUUUAAACCAGACAUGUUUCUCAUAAGUAGUGUUAAACACAUUAAUGAUUAAAUAUCCUCAGUUCUCCGGUUAUAUAGCAUGUAAACGAUUAUUUCAGAUUUUAUUUCAGAACCGUUGCUGCCAAAUUUCAGAACAGUUACUACCACUGAAGGGGACUGUUCCAUGGCACCCAUUUCAGAUGAACAUCAAAAGCAGAAGAACUUACAUAUUGCUUUGACUGUCCAACCAUUGCUUUUGAACGCAAUCUGUGUUCUUUCAUUGGAUUGUCUUCCGGUUUCCAUUUAUUUAGUCGAAGAGAACAUGAAAAACACUGCACAAUAUCUCCUGUACCAGUAUAAUAAAAACCAGUAGAUGCCAACUGGUGCCUGUUGGGAUGAAUUUGCUGAGACCAGUAUUCGAAUGCAUUUAUUAUGUUUUCAUAAAAUUUCAUCUUUGGAGAUUGAAUAGUCUUCUAAGUAGAGACCGUACCAUAGCUCUUCGCAUACUUUGAUUUUUCAAACUAAAGUGAUUUUUACAAGUGCGCCGGUUACGAUAAAAAUGUAAACAACGGACUCUGUCUAUGAAACUUUGAAAUGAAUGAAUGACAGUCGAUCUCAGUCAUAAUACCGAUUGACAGUGAAUGCUAAUGACUCCAUGUGUUGCAGAAAGGUAUUUAGUUUGUAACUUUAAUUUCCCAUCAAUUGAAAUCCUCUCAAAACUGGUAAAAUAAUUACUUAUAUUUGGACAAAUCUCAUCGUCUUUGCCGUUCGGCAGCUGCAAAAAGGGCAAAUAUAAAAGAUUCAGUGUAAGUAAUAUUUCACUGGUACUGCCAGUUAGUAAGUUCAUACUCUGAACAACACGUCAGAGAAAUUUGGGCAGAUUUGACCAAUUAUGACGUUGGCAGCAUUAGAUUAUAUUUUUUCUUUACACAAAAAUUGCCGUUAGGUAACAAAGCGAAUACGCCGAUAAUCCGGAGUUCACCGAUUAUUGUUCCAGUUCACGCAAUGUAAUCCAGCAAUUAAACUGCAUAGCUAUUAGCUACUGCUGUUAUAGAGAAGUGGUAGAGUGUCUGCCUUAGGGGUGAGAGGUCCUGGGUUCAAGUCCCAGUUAGAGCUUAACUCUGUUUAGAUUCUGCUAAAGCAUAGUUUUGCUGUUAAUAGACUGUUCCAGAUGUUCUAAAUUUUUAGCACACAGUAUCAUCGAUCAGUAUUUAGCAAUCCAGAUCAAAGUUGAAUGUUAAAUCAAAUGCACCCAAUUAGAAAAUAUUGACUAUAUUAUGUCCCUUUGAUGUUUAUGCUCUCCAUGUUCAAGAAGAGUUACAUUUCCUUGAUCACAAAAUUUUCGUUAUCAUGAAAAUAUUAAAUGCUCAUAACUCUGCACUUCUGGUUAAAAUAUUGUCUAUAUUUCUGUUUUUGAGAAAUAUAUGGACAUUUCUCUUCAUUUCAAAGCUUUUUAACUUCAAACCUAUGAUUUGAAAAACUUAGGUACUAUCUCUAUUCUAAGUCAUUAAAUUGUUUGUUCAUAAGGAUAGGUGAUAGAUAGUCAACAGUAAAGAGCGUGCUAGUUGCAUUUGCCGCUAAAUUUAGAAUUGGUUGUUGUUGUAGUUUUAAAAUUUUAGAACUAACGUUUAAAAUUGUCUGCCAACUUGGAGGCGCCAAAACUUUGGCAACCUGCACUGUCAAGCACCACCUGGCUUGGAUUUGGGUUCAAAAUGGUUGUGGUUGAAAUAUGAACCACUUGUCAGCCAUCUUAGAUUUGGUAGUUAAUCCCCCGCCGUGGCGGAGGGAUUAUAGGAAUGGUCUGCGUUCGUCCUUCCGUCCGUAACAAAAUCGUGUCCGGUCCAUAUCUCCUAAACCCCUUGAAGGAUUUUCAUGAAACUUGAGUCAAAUGAUCACCUCAUGAAGACGAUGUGCAGAACCCAUGAGUCAGGCUUGUCGGUUCAAGGUCAACGUCACAGCUCAAGGUCAAAGGUUUGAGCCUGCCAUUUUGUGUCUGCUCUAUAUCUCCUAAACCCCUUCAAGGAAUUUUAUAAAACUUGGGUCAAAUGAUCACCUCAUCAAGACGAUGUGCAGAACCCAUGAGUCGGCCAUGCUGGCUCAAGGUCAAGGUCACAACUGAAGGUCAAAGGUUUAAGCCUUACAUUUUGUGUCCGCUCUAUAUCUCUUAAACCCCUUGAAGGAAUUUUAUAAAACUUGUGUCAAAUGAUCACCUCAUCAAGACGAUGUGCAGAACCCAUGAGUCAGUCAUGCCAGCUCAAGGUCAAGGUCACAACUUAGGGUCAAAGGUUUGAGCCUUCCAUUUUGUGUCCACUCUAUAUCUCUUAAACCCUUUGAAGGAUUUUCAUCAAACUUGGGUCAAACCAUCACCUCAUCAAGGCAAUGUGCAGAACUUAUGAGUCAGCCAUGACGGCUCAAGGUCAAGGUCACAACUGAAGGUCAAAGGUUUGAGCCUUCCAUUUCGUGUCCGCUCUAUAUCUCCUUAACCCCUUGAAGGGAUUUUAUAAAACUUGGGUCAAAUGAUUACCUCAUCAGACCAAUGUGCAGAAAUUAUGAGUCAACCAUGCCAGCUCAAGGUCAAGGUCACAACUAAGGGUCGAAGGUUUGAGCCUUCCAUUUGGUGUCCAUUCUGUAUCUCCUUAACCCCUUGAAGGAUUUUCAUCAAACUUGGGUCAAAUGAUCACCUCAUCAAGAACUUAUGAGUCAGCCGUGUCAACUCAAGGUCAAGGUCACAACUGAAGGUCAAAGGUUUCAGCUCUGUAUCUCCUAAACCCCUUGAAGGAUUUUCAUGAAACUUUGGUCAAAUGAUCACCUCAUCAAGACGUUGUGCAGAAUUCAUGAGUCAGCCAUGUCAGUUCAAGGUCAAGGUCACAGCUAAAAUCAAAGGUUUACCCUUUCACUAUCCAUAGCAGUGGCGGGGGAUUUAGCUGUCUUUCAGACUGCCUUGUUCAAGAUGGCAACAAAUGCCCCGUUCCUACCCUACUGUUAUGGCAUUAAAUAAGUGAACAUUUAUCCGACUGGUGAACAGGAUGGCUUGGAAGCUGAUUUUAAUAUUAAAUGCAACAAAAUGUGUGAAAUUAAUAAUUUAAUCUUGUUUACAAAUGAAACGGAAUUAUAAUGUAAAUAUAAGAAAUAAAAUAAUCCCAGUUCAUGCAAAACGAAAGCCAGAAUAGGAUCAGCAGAUUAAACAUGAAUCACUAGUUUGAUCCAUGGAUUUGUUGAUCCUGUUCUGUCGUUCAUCUUGCAUGAACACCAAAAAAAAAUAAACCAGGGUUUCUUGAGCUUAUAAGUAGAAAAAUAAACAUUUAAAUUAUUUAUUCUCAUCAUCUGCUUGAUGGUUCUUCAUAAAACUUGUUUCUGUAGCUUUAUUGUUAGGUAACAUUGUUCAGCAUGCAAACAAAGUAUGUGCAGGGGCUUGGCCCAUUAUACCUGAGGUCAAGGUCACCAAAGUGUUAUACUUAGGUUGUUUUCAAGGUUAAAGUUUUUCAGCAAUCUUUGUUUUUCUAUCAUAUCUUUGUUAUUAUUGCUUAUAUUUUACAUUCACAUAAACAGUGUCCAGCAUACAAACAAAGUAUGUGCAUGGGCUAGGCCCAUUAUUCCCAAGGUCAAGGUCACUAAGUUGUUGUACUUCAUUUAUAGACAGAUCCUUGAUACUUAAAAAAAGAUAAUUACUUGAAAUUUAAAAUAUUUCAUUAUAAUCAGCAUCUUCAUAAAUUAUGUGGUUACAAUCCCCAUAACUCUAAUUGUAAUUUUGACAGAAUUAUGCCCCUUUCAUACUUAAGGUUUUGGCUUGAAACUUGAAAUGUAUCUAUAUAUAAUAAUUCAGCAGUCAACUGUGGAAAAUGUUUGGCUCAGAAGGAAGUGUGGUUCUGGGAAGAAUGUGUUACAUAUCCCAAUGGUAGAUAGUGCAAAGAUUACUGGUUUUACAAAUGCUGAAGUUGAGGGCAGUGUGUUGAGAUGAAACUAGAUGAUUCUAAGGAAGUUGGUCUUCGAAAGGCUUUCAAAUAAGACUAGCAGCUGCUACCAAAGGCAAAGACAGAGAUGCUCAGUUUACAGCCAUACAGUAGAGGUGAACAGUCAUUGAAAAAUUGCUGAUUUGUACCAACCAGCUCCACACAGAAGAUUGAGCAGUAAGAAGGCCAUGUACAGAGAAAGCAGAGAUUCUGUUAUGUGUGUUGUCUUUGAUCCUGAUGGUACCACAGAACGCUGUCAACAAGGAUGUAAUAUUCCUGACAUCUGAGUGUAACAAGAGCCUUAGUGCCUUUGAAAAUGAUAAUGGUUGUAUACAUAAUGCAAGAUAAUUGUCAAGCCCUGCAUUGUUGUUCGUAUAUGUUCCAGAAAUCAGUUAUACAGGGAAAAUCGUCUGACACCAUGAGACUUGGAAAACAGGAGCAGAAAUGUAUACAUCUAUCCUGUCUACACGAAUAAUGACUGUAGUUACAAGGCGUCACUAAUCUUACCAGGACUUGUCAUAUUAAGAGAACUGUCUUUAGAUGAAGAAAUAGAUGCUGCUGAAAGAAAAACGCCAACUAGAAAGACAUAACUCCAAAACCAAUUCCAUGUGUAGUAGUUAAUCCAGAAUAUGUUAGGCUCGGAUUCUGUUUCCUGCAUAACCCAUUGUCAUUUACAAUGUCUGAAUCAGUCAGUGUCAGAAGUAGUUAGUCCCUCACCCAUGUAUGUGUGUAUUCAUGUGUUUUUGGCUUGGAGGGCCGUAAUAUAGAAACUUUAAAUUUCAAGAUACUCCAAGUACAAUUUCUACUUUAAAUUAAAAAAACAUUUUGGUAGGGUAAUUCCGAUUGCAGACAUUAUCAAUAUCAGCCAUUUUAGGCCACAAAAUUUCCAAAAAUUAAAAUCUUGACUUUGUUUACCAUCAUUAUCAUCCAUCAGAGGUUGGUCAAAAUUCCGAGACGAACUAUGGAACCAUGGUAGACCUCUGGUAUGCGAGAGAAUCCUCCUGUGAAACGUUCAGAACCUCUUUAAAUAGCAUGAAAUAAGGAAACAGAUGUAAAAAUAAGUAAAAUUUCUCAAUUUUCUUUUCGCAAUUUCCAUAUUAUAUGCAGGAAAAUUUUAAAUGCCAAUUUGAUGAAAUCGAUUUACCCACCAAAACACCUUUUUGGCACAGAUUUAUAAAUGAUAGAUACAGUGUUUUAGGGAAUAGCGGAUUUUUAGUAGAGAUGAUAGAUUGAUCAAAUUUGCUUUUAUACAUAAAUUAUUGUAUAAAUUUCUAUCUCACUCUUCUUUUACUGGCUUGCAGACAGAUAAUCUGUCAUGUGCUUAAAAUGUUUGUAUGUUGUGUUAUUUUUCACAUGUCAUCCAUCAUACGAAAAUCAAAGCUGUUCUCUGCUGACUAAAUGUAAAAAAUGUCAAAAUAUCAGUGAACGAAAUAUGUUUGAUAGAAAUUUUAAACGCUGAAUAUCUUAAAAGAGUAUAUAUUAUCAUUCUGAUUUAUAGAAAAGAAAUCUAGGUUGGUGUAGUUAGAUGUGUUUUUAUAAUUGAUGACUGAAAAAUGGCCAAAGCUAUCUUCUACACAUUAAAUCAGUACAGCUGAAUGUUUUGAAAAGAAUACUGCAUUUUCCUUGUGUUAUACAGAAAAAAACUCUUAUUUAUAUGCUUCAUAUAUAGUUGCUUCUUCGUCAGUCUUUCUGUCCGUCCUGCAAUUCUUGUCCGGAGUAUUUGGCAGCAACCAGUGGUUAAAAUUUAGCGAAACUUUAUAGAAAGCUUAACUAUCAAGAGGAGAUUUGUAUUCUGGGCUGAUGAUUUUUACAGAGUUAUUGCCCUUUGAUUAUUCAACACUAGUACAGUAAAGACUGUCUACAGUGACCAAUCUUCGGAAGAUUUCAAAAAGGUCACUAGAGACGAGAAUCCACUAUAUACAAUCUAGCUGCUCGGGUGGAGAAGUCUAAUAGCACAAUAUUGUUCCUGUUUUUACAUACAUGUAUACUGAUCCGUAGUCAGAAAGGUAGGUUGGGCUAUGCAUACCCUGGAAAGAUGUAGUCUGGCCAUUGUGAUGGCUCGAAUACUGUUGAAAGUAGCAGAGAGCCCAAACAAUUCAAACAUUUGUAGGUUACUAACAAAUAUUUUGACUGGAUCAUAAUACUUUCUAUGCAUCCAUUUUCUACAGUUAAAAAUAGAGCUUAUUUAAAAUUGUAGUUAUGCGACAAUUAAAAACACCUGCUGGUCGAUAAUCCGAAUGAUGUUUGACACCUUCACGUGUUGUUAGGACAGUAAAUGCAACUUUUAAAAGGUUAGUUUGCACAAAAAAAAAACAAUUUUAUUUGCAACUGAAAUGAUGAUAGUUUGCACAGCAACGGCCACAAAAUACAACAAAAGACCAAGUAUGGUUGCUGGUUGUCCUUCGGUAUAAGGUCAUUAUAAAGGUCCAAAAUACCGUUUUGGGGGAGGAAAUUAUGGUCACUGUACACAUCAGACAAGGAGUCGCUACAAACAAGCCCUGGGGGUCCCAAGUUUUACAUAGACUUAUAUAGGAAACAACUUAAAAAAUUUUCUUGUCUGAAAGUUCAAGGCCUAGGCCUUUGAUAUUUGGUAUGUAGCAUUGCCUAGUGGUUUUCUGACAAGAUUGUUCAAAUUAUGCCCCCCUGGGGUGAAAAGAGGCCCCGCCCGGGGGAGUUAUAUAGGAAAAAUACUUUAAAAAUUAUCUGAUCAUAUUUCCUAGAUUGUUUGAUUAUAAUUACCUAAUGAUCCUAAUUAAUAAGGGGUCACUUGACUGUGACCUUGACCUACUUACCUACUUUCUUGUUUGUUAAGAUACAGCCUUGAAAUUUGGAUGACAUAUACAGUUUUGCACACCGAUCUAAGCUUAACACUGACUUUCAGUGUUUACGAAUGUGACCUACUUUCUUGAUGUUUUAGCAGUUUGACAUUUGAAACAUGUGGCUCAUGUUACUCAGGUGAACGACCCAGGGUCAUUAUGACCCUCCUGUUAUAAAGCACUAUAGGUAUUAAUGUUCAGUCGUUCGGAAUCAGUGAGCAGACAAUUUUUGCAGAAACCACAGCAUAAGCAUAGAAAGA